GAUGAACGCUGGCGGCGUGCCUAAUACAUGCAAGUCGAGCGAACGGACGCGAAGCUUGCUUCUCUGAUGUUAGCGGCAGACGGGUGAGUAACACGUGGAUACCCUACCUAUCAGACUGGGAUCACUUCGGGACACCGUCGCUUAUACCGGAUAAUAUUUUGAACCGCAUGGUUCAAUAGUGAAAGACGGUCUUGCUGUCACUUAUAGCUGGAUCCGCGCUGCAUUAGCUAGUUGGUACGGUAACGGCUUACCAAGGCAACGAUGCAUAGACGACCUGAGAGGCGGAUCGGCCACACGGGAAGUGAGACACGGUCCAGACGCCUGCGGGAGGCAGCAGUAGGGAAUCGGCCGCAAUGGGCGGAAGCCUGACGGAGCAACGCCGAGUGAGUGAUGAAGGUCUUCGGAUCGUAAAACUCGGUUAUUAGGGAAGAACAGAUGUGUAAGUAACUGUGCACAGAGUGACGGUACCUAAUAAGAAAGCAACGGCUAACUACGUG
This 497-nucleotide ribosomal RNA is filed under the name uncultured bacterium. Its description in RNAcentral is "partial 16S ribosomal RNA". It matches the Rfam family "Bacterial small subunit ribosomal RNA", at positions 28 to 507 of the family's 1533-position model. The record is from RNAcentral.